CAGAGUCUUUUUAUUUUCACCUCAUUGGUUCAUCCAAAAAAAUAAAAAAUAAAAGACUCUCUUCGCUCUCUCAAACCCUAAAAACUACAACUCUCUUCGCUCUCUCGAAGCUUCUUCGAUCUCUGUCCCCUUGUCGAUCACUUGCAAAAAUCAAAAAUUUUUGGGCGGGAAUUCGGAUACUCAAUACCCCCAAACCCAACCCACUUCCCCCGCUCCAUACCCACCCGUUUCGAUUUGUAAUCUUUGGUGCGAUAGAAGCUAUAGGGUUUUCUCAACACGAAACGAGAUCUGGCUUUGUGAUACAUAAUGCAGUGAUCAUGCAAAAGAAAUUCAGAGUGCGAUAGAGAAGAUGGAACCUGAGCGUUUAAAAUUCGGAGGUCCAAGAGAGUUGUGUGGUGCUGUGGAUCUUAUAUCUCAAUUCAAACUAGCACAGCACCAUGAAUUCUUUUGCAAGAAAUCCCUUCCCGUCUCCCUGUCAGAUUCCCAUUAUCUUCAUAAUGUGGUUGGGGACACAGAGAUCAGAAAAGGAGAAGGAAUGCAAUUAGAUCAGAUUGUACAGAACUUAUCACAGAGCCCGGAGACUAAUAUUCGCAUCCAACCUUUUGAUAUAGAUGAGCUUAAGGAGGCUUUCCUACUAAAGGAUAUGACUCCUGUUGAACUGCCUCCUGCAGAGAAGGGAGCGCCUACAUUUCCGCCUAAGUCAAAAAGUGAGUCGAAAGAUAAGGACAGGAAACAUAAGAAACACAAGGACAGGGAUAAGGACAAAGAUAGAGAGCACAAGAAGCACAAGCACAAGCAUAAAGAUAGGAGCAAGGAUAAAGAUAAAGACAAGGAUCGAGACAGAAAGAAGGACAAAAAUGGCCACCAUGAUUCGGGUGAUCAUUCUAAGAAACAUCAUGAUAAGAAAAGGAAACACGAUGGAGAUGAAGAUCUUAAUGACGUUCAGAGGCACAAAAAAAACAAGCAUAAAAGCUCAAAGCUUGAUGAGAUGGGUGCAAUAAGGGUUGCUGGGUAGUAAAGUUGUAAACAUUCCAAUUUUGUAUUCUGCACUCAAGUAGGUGUCAUGGAGAGGUUUAGAAGCACUUUUCAACUCACUGUAGACAGCUUAUUAGGUUAAAAGCCCAAAAUGGUGAACUCAUUCCUUGAAGAAGCAAGGGGAAAUUUAUGAUGAUGAAGAAGAAGAAUUGAAUUAGUAUCGUAAUUGAUUUGGUGUCAGAUUUGUAACAUUUUGGUCUUUGGGGUGUUUUCUUCCAUCUCUUCUCUGUCUAUAAAAGCAAUAUACCCACAAUAUUCACUAUUCAAUAUUCAUGUAUAAUAAUUUGUUCCUUAAUAUAUGCUGUUGAUGAAGGA
This is a non-coding RNA of Camelina sativa (false flax), 1350 nucleotides long. The record is from RefSeq and is a predicted model, not a curated record. NCBI's taxonomy places the organism in Eukaryota, Viridiplantae, Streptophyta, Magnoliopsida, Brassicales, Brassicaceae.